Molecule: ribosomal RNA, 429 nt
Filed under: Actinomycetes bacterium
Lineage: Bacteria; Bacillati; Actinomycetota; Actinomycetes
Description: Actinobacteria bacterium partial 16S ribosomal RNA
Rfam family: Bacterial small subunit ribosomal RNA
Source: RNAcentral
UAGGGAAUCUUCCGCAAUGGGCGAAAGCCUGACGGAGCAACGCCGCGUGAGUGAUGAAGGUCUUCGGAUCGUAAAACUCUGUUAUUAGGGAAGAACAAAUGUGUAAGUAACUAUGCACGUCUUGACGGUACCUAAUCAGAAAGCCACGGCUAACUACGUGCCAGCAGCCGCGGUAAUACGUAGGUGGCAAGCGUUAUCCGGAAUUAUUGGGCGUAAAGCGCGCGUAGGCGGUUUUUUAAGUCUGAUGUGAAAGCCCACGGCUCAACCGUGGAGGGUCAUUGGAAACUGGAAAACUUGAGUGCAGAAGAGGAAAGUGGAAUUCCAUGUGUAGCGGUGAAAUGCGCAGAGAUAUGGAGGAACACCAGUGGAGAAGGCGACUUUCUGGUCUGUAACUGACGCUGAUGUGCGAAAGCGUGGGGAUCAAACAGG